GGGGUACUUAAAUUAGUCGAACUAAUUUUCUAGUUAGCAUGGAUCAAUCUCUAAUCAUUAAGCAAUCUGAUCAAAACAUGAUUCAUUAUGUUGGCUCGGUAAGUGAAAUCGAUGAGAGAAAUAUGCCAUUAACUCAUCAUAGACUCAAUCUAUACGAGUAGCUUCCAAUUAAUGACCAUCGGUCAAGACUGCCAAACUUACCUUAGACACCAACUAGCUAAUCAAUUUCAACUCAAUGAAC
This 241-nucleotide long non-coding RNA is filed under the name Elaeis guineensis (African oil palm). Its description in RNAcentral is "long non-coding RNA (EGUI_LNC052458)". The record is from RNAcentral. Lineage: Eukaryota; Viridiplantae; Streptophyta; Magnoliopsida; Arecales; Arecaceae.